UGCGUAGGCGGUUCGUUAUGUCUGUGGUGAAAGCCCUGGGCUCAACCUAGGAAUGGCCAUGGAAACUGGCGGGCUGGAGUAUGGCAGAGGGGGGUGGAAUUCCGCGUGUAGCAGUGAAAUGCGUAGAGAUGCGGAGGAACACCGAUGGCGAAGGCAGCCCCCUGGGCUAAUACUGACGCUGAGGCACGAAAGCGUGGGAGCAAACA
Molecule: ribosomal RNA, 206 nt
Filed under: uncultured bacterium
Lineage: Bacteria
Description: partial 16S ribosomal RNA
Rfam family: Bacterial small subunit ribosomal RNA
Source: RNAcentral